CACGUAGGGCGCAAGCGUUGUCCGGAAUUAUUGGGCGUAAAGAGCUCGUAGGCGGUCUGUUGCGUCCGCUGUGAAAACCCGGGGCUUAACCCCUGGCUUGCAGUGGAUACGGACAGACUAGAGGUAGGUAGGGGGGAAUGGAAUUCCCGGUGUAGCGGUGAAAUGCGCAGAUAUCGGGAGGAACACCGGUGGCGAAGGCGGUUCUCUGGGCCUUACCUGACGCUGAGAAGCGAAAGCGUGGGGAGCGAACAGG
RNAcentral lists this ribosomal RNA (253 nucleotides) under uncultured bacterium. Its description in RNAcentral is "partial 16S ribosomal RNA". It matches the Rfam family "Bacterial small subunit ribosomal RNA", at positions 524 to 776 of the family's 1533-position model. The record is from RNAcentral.